CUAGGUGAUCUUGGAUGUAGCAGGCACCAUGACUACUUGUCACCAUCCCAUUUCGAAGGGGAUGCCCUCAAUCUCAUCAACAUAAUCAACAGCAACGUACCGUGUAACGGGUCAAGGGAUGCGACAUUCACGCCAUGUGGUCUGGGUGCCUGUUUACUCUUUGUCGGUACACGCUAUGACACCUCCCCGCAAGGGACGAACCUGAAGAAGCGAUUCGUACACUUACACGUGCGCCUGCAACCAGGCAACAUCGUGCUUAGUACAGUGCUGUGCAGAAAGCAGAACAAGCCGCAGCUCGCCGUCGACGCCGGGUGGACAGUUCAGACCGUUCUCGGAAAAACGACGCGAAGAUACUUCGCCGCUCAGACCUGAAAACGGACAUCCGAGUCAACUUUCUUGUUACUGGAGGUGGACCAGACAUGUGCGUUGCACACAUAAAUGAUGACACCUCUCAUUCGAUUCCAGCCCAAGUUGUGUACAGCGACUACGAAAACUGCGUUGUUCUGAAAAUGUUCAUUGGACAAAGAGAAGUAUGCUUACUCUGGGAAGCUAAAGGAACAGAAAAUACUGUCCCCAAGAAUUGCCUGGACGGAUACAAGAAGAGCUGCGGCGACGGCGUGACUUUGUACAGCGAUGACACCUGCAAUACCUACUAGAGUAAAAAUUGAAGAACAAAAAUUACAUCGAAUAGAAAUAAAUUUUUGCAUCAUAUAUCCGGACUUCUCACCUGGUAUAUGACUGAAACAGUUUUAUGAAGACGAAGGUUGAAAUUGGACGCCUUCUUGAAACGCUGCUAAGCUUUCAUUAUUUGGUAUUUGUUGACGAUGAGCGAUUAUUCAUUUCAAGAAGAGUGUAAACACUCCAAUAGUGUAUUCUCUAAUUGCAUUCAAAUCGAUUGGCUUUUAAUAUUCGGCUCUGAUAUGGCUCGAUAAUACACUAUUCGGAUUUGUUGAAUAUAUGGAGUAACGACUAGCUGUUAAAAAAGCCAGGCGGAGAAAUACCGAAGCAUACUAUGACUCUUCUUACUAGUUCACCUGCAGGAGACAAGAGGGUGGUGCACCGAGGGGCCUGAAUAAAUG
Dermacentor andersoni is the source of this 1079-nucleotide RNA transcript. RefSeq lists it as uncharacterized. The record is from RefSeq and is a predicted model, not a curated record. NCBI's taxonomy places the organism in Eukaryota, Metazoa, Arthropoda, Arachnida, Ixodida, Ixodidae.